AUGAGGUUGUCACCAGGUGCCCGUCGCAGUGCUACAGCUUUACACGGGCAGAUGCUCCCUGCCCCAGGCCCUGCACCUGGAAGGGACUCAGUGAACACUGCUGUCUCGGUCUCAGCUCCUACUUCGUGUUCCACCAGUGUAGCCCUCCACAACUCGGGUCCGUCUUUGGAAAAGCGGGAGAUGUCCAUUUUUCACAGCAUGGAGUUAGCACAGGGAUUACAGAGACCCUGCAGGCAGGGGCGCCUGGGAGCAUCUGUCAGUGAAGCAUCUGCCUUCAUCCCGGGUCAUGAUCUCAGGGUCCUGGGAUCGAGCCCCAUCUUGGGCUCCCUGCUCCAUGGGGAGCCUGCUUCCCUCUCCCUCUGCCCUCCCCCCCCUUGUGCUCUCUUUCUCUCAGAUAAAUUAAAAUGCUACACGCAAAAAUGCAGCACGGUCCCUCAUGCCAAGGCCACAGUGUCACAUAGUAGAUGCUCAGAAAGUGUCUGUGGGGCAUUGUACGGGCAGCUGAUGCGCCGCCACGCCGAGCGGCAGGCCCGGGUAGAAGGUCUGAGAUUGUAGGUACAUAGUGUCGCCCUGGUGAAUGGAGUCAGCAGAUGUGAGGGCCACAGAUAGCCGUGACUGUCCCCACUCAUGGCAGGCGACUUCGCAGCCACACAGAUGCUACUGUGCACACAGCCCAGCGACCCAGAGGGGGGGCUGUGCAACUGCAGGCCUCACUGUUCCUCAGGGGCCGCAUCUGCGGCCGGAGCCCUGACACCAUAUGUCCGGCCGCCCCAGCACGUGUCGGGUGGCUGCUCGGGGCACAGGCGUCCCUGUGCUGCCAGCGUCACAUCUGUAAGGAAGCCCAGUCGCCUCUCACAGAACUGGGCCAGCUGAACUCUAACCAGAUUCGAGACACAUAACUAGGGAAAGAAAAGCAGCCACGGCAAGUCAGCCCCAAGGAGCUCCUGUCCAGACAGCGGGCACUCGCAGCUUCCCAGCCCUGCUCCCUGGGUUUCAGAGAAAAACAGGCAUCACACCGUCUUCUCUGGGGUGUUCACCUGCUCCAAGGUCAGCGGUCUUUUUCUUUUUAACCUUCCACAAUUUCAAACGUCUCGGAAAGUGCAAACACAGGAAUAGUUGAAAGAAUACACGUGUGUUCUUUACCCAGAUUCAUCAGUUGUGUGGGGUUUUUUAAAAGAUUUUAUUUAUUUAUUCAUGAGAGACACACAGAAAGAGGCAGAGACACAGGCAGAGGGAGAAGCAGGCUCCUUGUGGGGACUCGAUCCCAGGACCUCAGGAUCAUGAUCUGAGCCGAAGGCAGAUGCUCAAGGGUUGAGCCACUCAGGCGUCCCCAGAUUCAUCUAUUGUUAACGUUUAUCCUGUUUGAUCAUGGCCUCCCCCUCAGCCUGCCCUGUUUGUAUCUCUCUGUGUCGCUGUCUCUGUCUCUGUCUCUCUCUCUCUCACACACACGCACACACACACCUACUUUCUGAAACCACCAAGAGUCAGUGAGCACGUCCUGGCCCUCUACCCCUAGUCGCCUUGUUACGCAUGUCCUCAGACCCAGGAUCUGCUC
Molecule: long non-coding RNA, 1555 nt
Organism: Vulpes vulpes (red fox)
Lineage: Eukaryota; Metazoa; Chordata; Mammalia; Carnivora; Canidae
Source: Ensembl